RNAcentral lists this ribosomal RNA (477 nucleotides) under uncultured bacterium. Its description in RNAcentral is "bacterial SSU rRNA". It matches the Rfam family "Bacterial small subunit ribosomal RNA", at positions 15 to 518 of the family's 1533-position model. The record is from RNAcentral.
GAUCAUGGCUCAGAACGAACGCUGGCGGCAUGGAUUAGGCAUGCAAGUCGAACGAAGUAGCAAUACUUAGUGGCGCAAGGGUGAGGAACGCGUGAGUGACUUACCCGCAAGUUUGGAACAGCUCCUGGAAACGGGAAUUAAUACCGGAUGUGAUCAACGGGCUGCAUGGUUUGUUGAUUAAAGCAGUAAUGCGCUUGCGGAUGGGCUCGCGUCCCAUUAGCUAGUUGGUGAGGUAACGGCCCACCAAGGCCAUGAUGGGUAGCUGGUCUGAGAGGACGACCAGCCACACUGGGACUGAGAACUGCCCAGACUCCUACGGGAGGCUGCAGUCGAGAAUUUUGGGCAAUGGACGAAAGUCUGACCCAAGCAAUGCCGCGUGCGGGAUGAAGGUCUUCGGAUUGUAAACCGCUGUUUGGAGGGACGAAAUUUGACGGUACUUCCAGAGAAAGCCACGGCUAACUACGUGCCAGCAGCAGC